ACACUCCUACGGGAGGCAGCAGUGGGGAAUCUUGCGCAAUGGGCGAAAGCCUGACGCAGCCAUGCCGCGUGAAUGAUGAAGGUCUUAGGAUUGUAAAAUUCUUUCACCGGGGACGAUAAUGACGGUACCCGGAGAAGAAGCCCCGGCUAACUUCGUGCCAGCAGCCGCGGUAAUACGAAGGGGGCUAGCGUUGCUCGGAAUUACUGGGCGUAAAGGGAGCGUAGGCGGACAUUUAAGUCAGGGGUGAAAUCCCGGGGCUCAACCUCGGAAUUGCCUUUGAUACUGGGUGUCUUGAGUAUGAGAGAGGUGUGUGGAACUCCGAGUGUAGAGGUGAAAUUCGUAGAUAUUCGGAAGAACACCAGUGGCGAAGGCGACACACUGGCUCAUUACUGACGCUGAGGCUCGAAAGCGUGGGGAGCAAACAGGAUUAGAUACCCUAGUAGUCCCAUGA
Molecule: ribosomal RNA, 451 nt
Filed under: uncultured organism
Description: partial 16S ribosomal RNA
Rfam family: Bacterial small subunit ribosomal RNA
Source: RNAcentral